Molecule: ribosomal RNA, 915 nt
Filed under: Exophiala cancerae
Lineage: Eukaryota; Fungi; Ascomycota; Eurotiomycetes; Chaetothyriales; Herpotrichiellaceae
Description: LSU rRNA
Rfam family: Eukaryotic large subunit ribosomal RNA
Source: RNAcentral
GCAUAUCAAUAAGCGGAGGAAAAGAAACCAACAGGGAUUGCCUCAGUAACGGCGAAGUGAAGCGGCAACAGCUCAAAUUUGAAAUCUGGCCUCUUUGGGGUCCGAAGUUGUAAUUUGUAGAGGAUGUUUCGGGUACCGCCUCGGUUUAAAUUUCUUGGAACAGAAUGUCAGAGAGGGUGAGAAUCCCGUCUUGGACCGGCGGUAGGGCCCAUGUGAAACUCCUUCGACGAGUCGAGUUGUUUGGGAAUGCAGCUCAAAAUGGGUGGUAAAUUUCAUCUAAAGCUAAAUAUUGGCCAGAGACCGAUAGCGCACAAGUAGAGUGAUCGAAAGAUGAAAAGCACUUUGAAAAGAGAGUUAAACAGUAUGUGAAAUUGUUGAAAGGGAAGCGCUUACAACCAGACUUGCGCGCGGCGGUUCCCCCUUCCUUUUGGUUGGGCUACUCCGUCGUGUCCAGGCCAACAUCGGUUCUGGGGGUCGGUUAAAGACCUUGGGAAUGUACCUACCCUUCGGGCGUAGACUUAUAGCCCAGGGUGUCAUGCGACCUCCCGGGACCGAGGAACGCGCUUCGGCUCGGAUGUUGGCGUAAUGGUUGUCAGCGACCCGUCUUGAAACACGGACCAAGGAGUCUAACAUCUAUGCGAGUGUUUGGGUGUCAAACCCGGAACGCGAAAUGAAAGUGAACGGAGGUAGGAAGCCUUAAGGCUGCACUAUCGACCGAUCCUGAUGUCUUCGGAUGGAUUUGAGUAAGAGCAUAGCUGUUGGGACCCGAAAGAUGGUGAACUAUGCCUGGAUAGGGUGAAGCCAGAGGAAACUCUGGUGGAGGCUCGCAGCGGUUCUGACGUGCAAAUCGAUCGUCAAAUCUGGGUAUAGGGGCGAAAGACUAAUCGAACCAUCUGGUAGCUGGUUCCUGCCGAA